This 3719-nucleotide unclassified non-coding RNA is filed under the name Hermetia illucens (black soldier fly). RNAcentral's name for it is "cyclin-T, transcript variant X3". Lineage: Eukaryota; Metazoa; Arthropoda; Insecta; Diptera; Stratiomyidae. The record is from RNAcentral.
CCAUUUUCCGGGAUUAGACAUCGAAUUCUGUGAAGUGCUACGAAAAAUCGUAAAAUUCCAUGUUAAACUCACAUCAAUUGCUGUAAUUUUUACACGAAAGAGAAGUUCUUACGCACUGACAUAAAACUGGCAGUUUUUGAAAACGGCAAAGAGUUUAGCAUAAAUUGAACGUUCACGUUUUAUGUCGUUCCCCUGUCUAGCGCGAUACGACUUAAAUUAAUGGCUAGCAACAGUAACGCCGCACCAAGCACAAGCAGCGAUUCAAAGGACAGCAGAUGGUACUUCACAGCCGAGCAAUUAGCAAAUUCGCCAAGUCGAAGGCAAGGCAUCGAUGCAAACCAGGAGCUUUCCUACCGACAGCAGACUGCAUAUCUCAUACAGGAAAUGGGGCAGCGCCUGUCAGUGUCGCAGUUAUGCAUCAAUACAGCAAUUGUCUACAUGCAUCGAUUUUAUGCAUUCCAUUCCUUCACCCACUUCCAUAGAAAUGGAAUCGCGGCGGCGAGUCUCUUUCUCGCGGCCAAAGUUGAGGAACAGCCCCGCAAGCUAGAACAUGUAAUUAAAGUGGCACAUUUGUGCCUCAGUACAGAAUUUCCACAUGCAGCGUCGGAUGUUUACAAUGAACAGGCACAGGAUCUAGUUUUCAACGAGAACGUUCUUCUCCAGACGCUUGGAUUUGAUGUUGCCAUUGAUCACCCGCACACACAUGUCGUCAAAACAUGUCACCUGGUUAAAGCCUGCAAAGAUUUGGCUCAAACUUCGUAUUUCCUCGCUUCCAACAGCUUACAUUUGACUUCCAUGUGUCUACAGUACAGGCCUACAGUAGUUGCAUGCUUCUGUAUUUACUUAGCGUGUAAAUGGUCGCGAUGGGAAAUUCCACAAUCGACAGAAGGAAAACAUUGGUUUCACUAUGUCGAUACAAGCGUAACGCUGGAUUUAUUGAAACAACUCACAGAUGAAUUCCUAGCAAUCUAUGAAAAGAGUCCAGCUCGAUUGAAGUCGAAACUGAAUUCAAUAAAGGCUUUAGCUCAGAGUGCACGAAUGAACGAACCGCAAAGACCUAUCGCAGAUGCAAAUGGUUCGAAUUCUCAAGUACCACCAGAAUCAGCACGGAGACCUGAAUCGUAUUCUAGUCAUCAUAGACAUCAUUCAUCUGCUAGCUCACAUCAUACUCAUCAUUCUAAGCCGCAGUUACCACCAACUGAAUCAGGGGAUCAUGGGAAACCUACCCUAUCACACAAACAACAGCAGCCGUACACAAGCGCAUCGUCCGGUAGUGGUCAUUCUUCGAGCCGACCACCUCGUCCCGACCGGCCACAAUUGGUACCCGAUGGACAAAUGCAUCCAUCGCACGGUGGAAGCAACAAACAACCAGUUCUACCUAACGUUCCGCGACCAAGUAGCAGCAGACCCCCACACGGUAUGCCAAUACCAUCCGGAACAAGCAACACUUCACAACGCCUUCCACAUGGGCCGCAUGAUCCAAACUAUCAUAAAAAUAGAAGUUCAAUACAACCUCCAAACAAUCCCUCUAUAGUUAGCGGGCACAAGUCCAUGUCGAAAUCCAACGACCCUCAAAGGAGCUUGUUGAAAGAUCCUUCCGGUCGUCCUAUAGAUCCAAACAAAAUACCAGCCAAACAUAGCAGUGGGAGUAACAUGGGUAGUUCCAAUAACAAUAGCAAUUCAAAUAUGUUUACAGGACCAAAUGUAGGUGCAACUGGAAUAGAUUUGACAAGGAAUGUUCAACAGAUAUCACAGCCGCAGCUACAGAGACCUUUCGUACCGACUAAUGUACAGCCUCCAACCUAUAAUCAAACUAUAUCAAGCCGUAGCAACAGCAAUAGUUCUUUAAAAUAUGAUCAAUCCGUCCAGCAACAGCAGCAACAAAUGCAUUUGCAGUCAGGUCAGAAGCAAUCUUUAGAGUCUUCCUUCAAUCAACAACAACAAGCUAGUUCGCGUCAAAUCGAUGAAAGUAGUAAUAAUAAAACAGAACAAAUGGAGAUAUGUUCGCCAACGAAAUAUUAUCCGCAACCGCCGUCAGUUCAAUCACUCCCAGUUCAGCCUCCACAAGCAAAUUUACCCCAGCCCGUAACAUCUCAAAGCAAAACUUCGUCAAUAUUCAGUCCUGAAUGGAAUGACAAAGUAGCAACGCAUCCUAAUUUACCUUUAAAUACUAAUAGCAAAACAAGUUCUGAUAGUAAUUUGGAUAGACCAUCAGUAUUAGGAUUAGGCAUGAAACAAAACAGGGAAAGUCCAAAGAGGUCAGAUCGGGAACGGCGUUCAGAGACGCCGAAAAAGGACAAAACCCGGCCAGAUCAACAACCUGCCGAUCCCAGCAAAUUUUCGAUGCAGAGUGAUAAGAGAAAUAGCAACAAAAAGGUAAUAGAUAUACCUAACCAGCCAAUGAUUCAGAAUACUGCCUCAGGUGUACCCCCAUACGACACCAAAAAUCAACAAGCUCUAAACUUGAGUGGCGUAAAGCGACCGAGCGAAGGAGUCGCUCGAUUAGAUGAAGAACGAGAUGUGAAAAUUCGGAAGGUGGAACCUCAAUUAUCACCGAAAAGCAGUAGCGAUCAAAAACAGAUGUAUCCUUUCGAUCAAGGUGGAUCUGUAGAUUCCUCGCGAUCAGCCAAACCUUCGUACUCAUCAACUGUUAACGGCAUAGAAACUGAUCCGGAUUUAGUUCGAAAUUUAUUAAAAGAGAGCCUGUGUACAGAUAACAAAUUUUUAAUUAAACCAGAACCUAUUUUGAACUAUGUCGAUAUUAAGCCCAUAGAACCCUUAAGUGACAUGGAAACUCUACCCGCGCAACUACUACAAAAUGAGUCUCCAAUAAAAGAGACAAUCAAAGAAGAGCCUAGUGUCCUUGUUCCGAGUUUAAGUACUAGUGGGAACACAAGUGGUGAUGCUUACUCUAAGUCGAAAGCAGAGAAAAAGAAGAAAAAAGACAAGCACAAGCAUAAAGAGAAGGAUAAGUCGAAAGAUAAGGAAGAGCGUAAGAAGCAUAAGAAAGAUAAGAACAAGGAGCGUUCGUCUGGUAACGAACAGGAGCAGAAUCACGUGAAACUGACCAUACCGAAGGAGAAACUUAAUCUUACGUCACUAGGACCACCACCUUCUCUACCAACCUCGGAGUUGAAAAUAAAAAUUCCAAAAGAUCGAAUACGUGCCGAAUUAACCCAAUAUCAAGUGGAUGAUAAUGUUCAUACAGCACAACCAGCACUAGCACCCCCGCCGCAGCCUAGUUCCUUAAAAAUAAAAAUAUCUAAAGAUAAAAUAGAAAGUUAUAGUCAUCAUUCGCAACAUCAUUCAUCGUCGUCUUAUAGCAGUAGUGGUAGCCAUCAUAGUCAUCAUAGUAGCAAGAAAAAGGAUCGUGAUCGCGAUAAGGAUCGUGAGAAGGAUAAAAAGCGCAGUAGCAGCAGCAGCAAUAACGACCAUAAUAAACAAAAUGGUAGUGGGAGCGGCGGUGGAAGUGGUAGCGGUUUAUCAGAAUCCACAUCUGCGUCAACGAAAAAUCAAUCAUCGAAUUCAAAUAAGUAUUAAAUGUAUAAGUAUGCAGAACUACCAAAGACAGCAAGAUUCUAAUAAACAAAAAAAAUUAAACAAUCCAACAAUAUACCACCAAUAUGAGCCAACUAUUUGGUGAUUUGAAUGAUGACGACGAUUCACCAUCGCCACCGUCACCGUCAAUGUAUCUACAUCAACAACAGCAGCCACAAACA